GACGAACGCUGGCGGCGUGCCUAAUACAUGCAAGUAGAACGCUGAAGGAGGAGCUUGCUUCUCUGGAUGAGUUGCGAACGGGUGAGUAACGCGUAGGUAACCUGCCUUGUAGUGGGGGAUAACUAUUGGAAACGAUAGCUAAUACAGCAUAACAGCAGUUGUAGCAUGACAACUGUUUGAAAGGUGCAAUUGCACCACUACCAGAUGGCCCUGCGUUGUUUUAUCUUGGUGGGGGGGUAACGGCUCACCAAGGCGACGAUACAUAGCCGACCUGAGAGGGUGGUCGGCCACACUGGGACUGAGACACGGCCCAGACGCCUACGGGAGGCAGCAGGAGGGAAUCUUCGGCAAUGGGCGGAAGUCUGACCGAGCAACGCCGCGUGAGGGGAGAAGGUUUUCGGAUCGUAAAGCUCUGUUGUAAGAGAAGAACGAGUGUGAGAGUGGAAAGUUCACACUGUGACGGUAUCUGACCAGAAAGGGACGGCUAACUACGUG
This 495-nucleotide ribosomal RNA is filed under the name uncultured bacterium. RNAcentral describes it as "partial 16S ribosomal RNA". It matches the Rfam family "Bacterial small subunit ribosomal RNA", at positions 28 to 507 of the family's 1533-position model. The record is from RNAcentral.